CCUACGGGUGGCUGCAGUGGGGAAUAUUGGACAAUGGGCGAAAGCCUGAUCCAGCCAUGCCGCGUGUGUGAAGAAGGCCUUCGGGUUGUAAAGCACUUUCAGUGGGGAAGAAAGCCUUGGGGCUAAUACCCUCGAGGAAGGACAUCACCCACAGAAGAAGCACCGGCUAACUCCGUGCCAGCAGCCGCGGUAAUACGGAGGGGUGCGAGCGUUAAUCGGAAUUACUGGGCGUAAAGCGCGCGUAGGCGGUCUGAUAAGCCGGUUGUGAAAGCCCCGGGCUCAACCUGGGAACGGCAUCCGGAACUGUCAGGCUAGAGUGCAGGAGAGGAAGGUAGAAUUCCCGGUGUAGCGGUGAAAUGCGUAGAGAUCGGGAGGAAUACCAGUGGCGAAGGCGGCCUUCUGGACUGACACUGACGCUGAGGUGCGAAAGCGUGGGUAGCAAACAGGAUUAGAUACCCUUGUAGUC
This 466-nucleotide ribosomal RNA is filed under the name Vreelandella stevensii. RNAcentral's name for it is "partial 16S ribosomal RNA". It matches the Rfam family "Bacterial small subunit ribosomal RNA", at positions 338 to 795 of the family's 1533-position model. The record is from RNAcentral. Lineage: Bacteria; Pseudomonadati; Pseudomonadota; Gammaproteobacteria; Oceanospirillales; Halomonadaceae.